ACUCAAAUGAAUUGACGGGGGCCCGCACAAGCAGUGGAGUAUGUGGUUUAAUUCGAAGCAACGCGAAGAACCUUACCAGGGCUUGACAUCCUACUAACGAAGCAGAGAUGCAUCAGGUGCCCUUCGGGGAAAGUAGAGACAGGUGGUGCAUGGUUGUCGUCAGCUCGUGUCGUGAGAUGUUGGGUUAAGUCCCGCAACGAGCGCAACCCUUGUCGUUAGUUGCUACGCAAGAGCACUCUAACGAGACUGCCGUUGACAAAACGGAGGAAGGUGGGGACGACGUCAAAUCAUCAUGCCCUUUAUGUCCUGGGCUACACACGUACUACAAUGGCGUACACAACGAGAAGCAAGACAGCGAUGUGGAGCAAAUCUCCAAAAGACGCCUCAGUUCGGAUCGCAGGCUGAAACCCGCCUGCGUGAAGUCGGAAUUGCUAGUAAUCGCGGAUCAGCAUGCCGCGGUGAAUACGUUCCCGGGCCUUGUACACACCGCCCGU
RNAcentral lists this ribosomal RNA (494 nucleotides) under uncultured bacterium. RNAcentral's name for it is "bacterial SSU rRNA". It matches the Rfam family "Bacterial small subunit ribosomal RNA", at positions 899 to 1397 of the family's 1533-position model. The record is from RNAcentral.